Molecule: ribosomal RNA, 723 nt
Filed under: Triticum aestivum (bread wheat)
Lineage: Eukaryota; Viridiplantae; Streptophyta; Magnoliopsida; Poales; Poaceae
Description: partial small subunit ribosomal RNA
Source: RNAcentral
AUGAAAGUGCAGACUAAAGGAAUCUAUGCAGCUGUUGUGUUACCAUGGGACACUGGCGUACAAUCCAUUGUAUGUACAAAUUUUACUACAUGUGCUACUGCCAGUUAUCUUCUAGGGAAGCAUACUCCAGCACAUAACAUGAACAUGGUGCAGUUUUUACAAAAGGAAAGAAUUAUGGGGCUGUACAAGGAUACUGAAGAGAUGAUUCCCAUAUCUCUAAGAGACCUACUGAGCAUCACUUUCUCAUACCAAGAUUGUAUAGCGCAUGAAGAUCUCUUUCAUCUGAAGCAGCGAGUGUUUCCUAAAUUUCCUUCUGAUCAAAUCUCAAUGGAGACAUUGACUGUGAUAAUGGUUGUUGCUACUUCCACUUCUUUUGAACCAGCACGACAAGAAUCCAAGUUCAUUGUGGUUUCUGCACAAGAGCUCAAGAACAUUGUUGUUAUUGUACAAGGUCCAUACUAUACCAAUUCUAACCCUACAGGUUGUGGACUAUUCUGGGAAACAAACUCUUCAUGUUCAACCUUGCGACAAUCUGUAUCAUAUAUAUGGGUGUACAAGCGAUUUGACCCAAGAGAUCCACCAUUGGCAUUGUUGUUCAACAUGGCGAUGCAAUCAGGGGAAUGCUAUGCUACGGUGAAACAAAGGAAGUGUCAGAAGCUCAAACAUCUUGAAAUCAUAUGUUGGACGUCUCCAAUUUGGAUCAUAUCAUUUAUGCCUCCCUGA